NAGAGCAUGCGCCUUCUAAGCGCACGGUCGGGAGUUCGAGUCUCUCCGAGGACGCCA
This 57-nucleotide transfer RNA is filed under the name Faecalitalea cylindroides T2-87. Its description in RNAcentral is "tRNA-Und (NNN) (tRNA-Und-NNN-2-1)". It matches the Rfam family "tRNA", at positions 19 to 71 of the family's 71-position model. Rfam says of the family: Transfer RNA (tRNA) molecules are approximately 80 nucleotides in length. Lineage: Bacteria; Bacillati; Bacillota; Erysipelotrichia; Erysipelotrichales; Erysipelotrichaceae. The record is from RNAcentral.